RNAcentral lists this transfer RNA (85 nucleotides) under Nannocystis exedens. RNAcentral describes it as "tRNA-Gly". Lineage: Bacteria; Pseudomonadati; Myxococcota; Nannocystales; Nannocystaceae. The record is from RNAcentral.
CGCGCCGAGCAGGUGCUCGGGAUGACGCCGUCGGCCUACCGCGCCGGCGGGGCGGCCACGGCGAUCCGCUUCGCCGUCGGCGAGU